CUGAGCCUGCUGUCGGCCUUUGAGGUCGUGGUAUGGAUGACGGAUGGCUGGCCGCUGUAUGAAUCACGCCUGAAGGGAAAGCUGCACGUUAUCAGCAAGCGUUACACUCAGCGCAUUGAGCGACAUAAUCUGAAUCUGAGACAACAUCUGGCAAGGCUGGGACGGAAGUCGCUGUCGUUCUCAAAAUCGGUGGAGCUGCAUGACAAGGUCAUCGGGCAUUAUCUGAACAUAAAACACUAUCAGUAAGUUGGAGUCACUACCUUCGCGGCAAAGAGGGAGAAGGCGUAACGAUUACCAAUCUGCGUAAUCUGUUUUUCACCCCUGCGGGGAUCAAAGAAGAGAAUAUCCAGAAGCUCACUAUUGAUAACUACCGC
This 374-nucleotide ribosomal RNA is filed under the name Escherichia coli 1-392-07_S3_C1. Its description in RNAcentral is "partial 16S ribosomal RNA". The record is from RNAcentral. Lineage: Bacteria; Pseudomonadati; Pseudomonadota; Gammaproteobacteria; Enterobacterales; Enterobacteriaceae.